AUGGAUCAGGAGCUGAUCGAGCACCUUGAGGCCAAAGUGAGUGCUGACAGCACGAGAUCUCACCCUCUCAUCGAUUUGUUCAUACCAACCAUCGACAGCGAGCACGGCAUAUGCUACACCCAUCCUGAGAAAUUUCCAGGUAUCACACUGAGUGGCCUAAGCAAGCAUUUCUUCCAGUGCAUUCAAAAGGGGCACGUGGACGCGUCGCAAGAUACAGUCGGCGUGCGGCAUGCACGCGAUGUGGCACAACACCGGCAAUACCUUGCCGGUGAUGGUCAACGGCCGGCAGACGGGCAGCAAGAAGGUUCUGGUGCUGCACACCAACAAGAACUUCGACCAGCAGAGGACCAACUGGGUGAUGCACCAGUACCACCUCGGGGACCUGGAGCAAGAGAAGGAGCGGGAGCUGGUCCUCUGCAAGAUUUUCUACCAGACGAACACUAG
This 444-nucleotide ribosomal RNA is filed under the name Triticum aestivum (bread wheat). RNAcentral's name for it is "partial small subunit ribosomal RNA". The record is from RNAcentral. Lineage: Eukaryota; Viridiplantae; Streptophyta; Magnoliopsida; Poales; Poaceae.